AUGUCUUUGUGUGAAGACAUGUUGUUUUGUAAUUAUCGAGAGUGUCACAUUGAACUCUCUGGUUAUGCAUGGGUCACCAUCUGCUCUCACAUCUUCUGUGAUCAGCAUGGCAGUGGUGACUUUUGUGGUUCACCUGCUAUCUGUCCUGCCUGCAACAGUACACUUUCUGGAAGGCUAGAUAUUGUCCGCACUGAAUUCAGGAAUAUAAAGCUAUGGUAUUGGCUGGACUGUGACUGGAGAUAGUGUUGGGCAUUAGCUCCCAAGUACUUGGCCUUCUGGACAUUACAUCAGGUGUGUCUCUAUCAAGAAUACAAUUUCAGGAAAGCUGAAGGCCAUAUGAAACAGAUGGAGAAGACAUACACUCAGCAAAUACAGAGCCAGGAUGUUGAAUUGACCUCUGUGAAAAGGGAGAUAACCUCCAUGAGGAGAGUGCUAGAAGAAUACAAGAAAAAAAUAACAGUGACUUCUCUGAGACACUUAUGAAGCACAAUCAUCAGUAUUGAAAGCUCCAAGGCCUCUAUGACAGGCUUAGGCUAUGAAACAUCACUAUUCCACACCACAAAGAUACCCUUGAGCCAUCCAUGAUUGUACUCUGAUGUUUUUGGCUUCCCAUUAGGGAACAACUCCAAAUUUUCUGUGGACAGUAUACCAGUUGGAAAUUGGGUAGUGGAAAUGGAGAUUUUCAGUUCAGACCAUUUUUCUUGGGUUCUCCCACAGCACCUGCGCACAGCAACAGCUUUUUUAGUUUUGCCUCUACAAGAUGUGAACUAGAGCAGUAGCAAGUCUCUAGCAGGGCCUUCACAGUAAAAAGAAUUUGA
RNAcentral lists this long non-coding RNA (818 nucleotides) under Homo sapiens (human). RNAcentral's name for it is "non-protein coding lnc-EPPIN-2:1". The record is from RNAcentral. Lineage: Eukaryota; Metazoa; Chordata; Mammalia; Primates; Hominidae.